Molecule: ribosomal RNA, 274 nt
Filed under: uncultured bacterium
Lineage: Bacteria
Description: partial 16S ribosomal RNA
Rfam family: Bacterial small subunit ribosomal RNA
Source: RNAcentral
AUACGGAGGGUGCAAGCGUUGUCCGGAUUUAUUGGGUUUAAAGGGUGCGUAGGCGGAUCUUUAAGUCAGUGGUGAAAUCCUGCAGCUUAACUGUAGAACUGCCAUUGAUACUGGAGAUCUUGAGUAUACUAGAAGUAGGCGGAAUUUAUGGUGUAGCGGUGAAAUGCAUAGAUACCAUAAAGAACACCGAUAGCGUAGGCAGCUUACUGGAGUAUAACUGACGCUGAGGCACGAAAGCAUGGGUAGCGAACAGGAUUAGAAACCCCAGUAGUCC